RNAcentral lists this ribosomal RNA (1187 nucleotides) under Escherichia coli. RNAcentral's name for it is "partial 23S ribosomal RNA". It matches the Rfam family "Bacterial large subunit ribosomal RNA", at positions 1 to 1228 of the family's 2925-position model. Lineage: Bacteria; Pseudomonadati; Pseudomonadota; Gammaproteobacteria; Enterobacterales; Enterobacteriaceae. The record is from RNAcentral.
GGUUAAGCGACUAAGCGUACACGGUGGAUGCCCUGGCAGUCAGAGGCGAUGAAGGACGUGCUAAUCUGCGAUAAGCGUCGGUAAGGUGAUAUGAACCGUUAUAACCGGCGAUUUCCGAAUGGGGAAACCCAGUGUGAUUCGUCACACUAUCAUUAACUGAAUCCAUAGGUUAAUGAGGCGAACCGGGGGAACUGAAACAUCUAAGUACCCCGAGGAAAAGAAAUCAACCGAGAUUCCCCCAGUAGCGGCGAGCGAACGGGGAGGAGCCCAGAGCCUGAAUCAGUGUGUGUGUUAGUGGAAGCGUCUGGAAAGGCGCGCGAUACAGGGUGACAGCCCCGUACACAAAAAUGCACAUGCUGUGAGCUCGAUGAGUAGGGCGGGACACGUGGUAUCCUGUCUGAAUAUGGGGGGACCAUCCUCCAAGGCUAAAUACUCCUGACUGACCGAUAGUGAACCAGUACCGUGAGGGAAAGGCGAAAAGAACCCCGGCGAGGGGAGUGAAAAAGAACCUGAAACCGUGUACGUACAAGCAGUGGGAGCACGCUUAGGCGUGUGACUGCGUACCUUUUGUAUAAUGGGUCAGCGACUUAUAUUCUGUAGCAAGGUUAACCGAAUAGGGGAGCCGAAGGGAAACCGAGUCUUAACUGGGCGUUAAGUUGCAGGGUAUAGACCCGAAACCCGGUGAUCUAGCCAUGGGCAGGUUGAAGGUUGGGUAACACUAACUGGAGGACCGAACCGACUAAUGUUGAAAAAUUAGCGGAUGACUUGUGGCUGGGGGUGAAAGGCCAAUCAAACCGGGAGAUAGCUGGUUCUCCCCGAAAGCUAUUUAGGUAGCGCCUCGUGAAUUCAUCUCCGGGGGUAGAGCACUGUUUCGGCAAGGGGGUCAUCCCGACUUACCAACCCGAUGCAAACUGCGAAUACCGGAGAAUGUUAUCACGGGAGACACACGGCGGGUGCUAACGUCCGUCGUGAAGAGGGAAACAACCCAGACCGCCAGCUAAGGUCCCAAAGUCAUGGUUAAGUGGGAAACGAUGUGGGAAGGCCCAGACAGCCAGGAUGUUGGCUUAGAAGCAGCCAUCAUUUAAAGAAAGCGUAAUAGCUCACUGGUCGAGUCGGCCUGCGCGGAAGAUGUAACGGGGCUAAACCAUGCACCGAAGCUGCGGCAGCGACGCUUAUGCGUUGUUGGG